This 428-nucleotide ribosomal RNA is filed under the name uncultured bacterium. RNAcentral's name for it is "bacterial SSU rRNA". It matches the Rfam family "Bacterial small subunit ribosomal RNA", at positions 355 to 775 of the family's 1533-position model. The record is from RNAcentral.
UGGGGAAUACUGCGCAAUGGGCGAAAGCCUGACGCAGCGACGCCGCGUGAGGGAUGAAGGUUUUCGUAUCGUAAACCUCUGUCAGAAGGGAAGAAACUACAUUGUUCUAAUCAGCAGUGUACUGACUGUACCUUCAAAGGAAGCACCGGCUAACUCCGUGCCUGCAGCCGCGGUAAUACGGAGGGUGCAAUCGUUAAUCGGAAUUACUGGGCGUAAAGCGCACGUAGGCUGUAGUGUAAGUCAGGGGUGAAAUCCCACGGCUCAACCGUGGAACUGCCUUUGAUACUGCACAACGUGAAUCCGGGAGAGGGUGGCGGAAUUACAGGUGUAGGAGUGAAAUCCGUAGAUAUCUGGAGGAACAUCAGUGGCGAAGGCGGCCACCUGGACCGGUAUUGACGCUGAGGUGCGAAAGCGUGGGGAGCAAACAG